Molecule: unclassified non-coding RNA, 861 nt
Filed under: uncultured Bordetella sp.
Lineage: Bacteria; Pseudomonadati; Pseudomonadota; Betaproteobacteria; Burkholderiales; Alcaligenaceae
Description: partial 16S-23S ribosomal RNA intergenic spacer
Rfam family: Bacterial small subunit ribosomal RNA (bases 1-543)
Source: RNAcentral
GUUCGAUUAUGGCUCAGAUUGAACGCUGGCGGGAUGCUUUACACAUGCAAGUCGAACGGCAGCACGGACUUCGGUCUGGUGGCGAGUGGCGAACGGGUGAGUAAUGUAUCGGAACGUGCCUGACGGCGAGGAUAACUACGCGAAAGCGUAGCUAACACCGCAUACGCCCUUCGAAGGAAAGCGGGGGACCUUCGGGCCUCGCACUAUUAGAACAGCCGAUAUCGAGAUUUAGCUAGUUGGUGGGGUAACGGCUCACCAAGGCGACGAUCCGUAGCUGGUUUGAGAGGACGACCAGCCACACUGCGAGACUGGCCCCGGGCUCUACGGGAGGCGGCAGUGGGGAAUUUUGGACAAUGGGGGAAACCCUGAUCCAGCCAUCCCGCGUGUGCGAUGAAGGCCUUCGAGACAUAAAGCGCACUGGCAGGAAAGAAACGGCACGGGAUAAUACCCCGUGCAACUGACGAGAAAUCAGUUGCACGGGUGCUCUAUCCCGUGCCGUUUCUUUCACUGCCAAAAAUUAACUUUGGCUCGGGUAGCUUCAUCACACACGCAGGGAUGGCUGGACGGGGUUUCCCCAUUGUCCAAAAUUCCCCACUGCCAUCCGUAGAGUCUCAGUCCCAGUGUCUAGUCUCUGGCUACGGAUCGUCUCUGGUUGCUACAGCUUAUUGCAAUCCGGUAUCGGCCGCUGCGAGGCCCAGAUCCCAGGCGUAUGCAAUGUCCCUUCCACACUUUCGCAUGUGUAGGCACGUUCCAGCACAUUGCCGCGGCUAGCCACUCGCCGCAGACUGAAAUCGCGCCGCAGACGUCCGCCGGCAAUCUGAUUUGUGAUCCAGCCACUCUGUUACUGCUCCGAAUAAUAUG